This 640-nucleotide ribosomal RNA is filed under the name uncultured bacterium. Its description in RNAcentral is "bacterial SSU rRNA". It matches the Rfam family "Bacterial small subunit ribosomal RNA", at positions 189 to 815 of the family's 1533-position model. The record is from RNAcentral.
AUGGGUUUUUCGGGAAACGUGGCCUCUUAACAAUGCUACGGUGGCAGGAGGAGCUCGCGGGCUAUCAGCUAGUUGGUGAGGUAACGGCUCACCAAGGCGACGACGGCUACGGGGUCUGAGAGGACGACCCCGCACAUUGGAACUGAGACACGGUCCAGACUCCUACGGGAGGCAGCAGUGGGGAAUAUUGGGCAAUGGCCGAAAGGCUGACCCAGCGACGCCGCGUGUGGGAGGAAGCCCUUCGGGGUGUAAACCACUGUCAGGGGGGACGAAAGAGUCGGGAGUGAAUAAUUCUCGGCAGUGACGGUACCCUCAAAGGAAGCACCGGCUAACUCUGUGCCAGCAGCCGCGGUAAUACAGAGGGUGCAAGCGUUGUUCGGAAUUACUGGGCGUAAAGCGCGCGCAGGCGGGUCUGUAAGUCGGAAGUGAAAUUUCGGGGCUCAACCCCGAAGCUGCUUCUGAUACUGCAGGUCUAGGGACCGGUAGAGGCUGGUGGAAUUACAGGUGUAGCGGUGGAAUGCGUAGAUAUCUGUAAGAACACCCGUGGCGAAGCGGCCAGCUGGGCCGGGUCCGACGCUGAGCGCGAAAGCGUGGGGAGCAAACAGAUAGAUACCUGGUAGUCACGCCGUAACGAUGGGCA